RNAcentral lists this ribosomal RNA (360 nucleotides) under uncultured organism. RNAcentral describes it as "bacterial LSU rRNA". It matches the Rfam family "Bacterial large subunit ribosomal RNA", at positions 2099 to 2465 of the family's 2925-position model. The record is from RNAcentral.
CUUUACUGCAGCUUGAUAUUGAGUUGCAAAUAUGGAUGCGUAGCAUAGGUGGGAGACGGUGAUGGAGGGGUUUCGGCCCCUUCGGAGUCACAAUGUGAAAUACCACCCUUCUCUAUUUGCAAUUCUCACCCGGCUAAAACCGGGGACAGUGUUUGGUGGGCAGUUUAACUGGGGCGGUUGCCUCCUAAAUGAUAACGGAGGCGCGCAAUGGUCAGCUAUCUCCGGAUGGAAAUCGGAGAGUUUGUGUAUUCGCAUAAGCUGGCCUGACUGGGAGACCAACGAGUCGAUCAGACGCGAGAGCGGGCGAAAAUGAUCCGGCACCUGCGCAUGGAAGCGGUGUCGCUCAACGGAUAAAAGUUA